Molecule: small nuclear RNA, 104 nt
Filed under: Chinchilla lanigera (long-tailed chinchilla)
Lineage: Eukaryota; Metazoa; Chordata; Mammalia; Rodentia; Chinchillidae
Source: RNAcentral
GUGCUCGCUUCGGCAGCACAUAUACUAAAGUUAGAAUGACACAGAGAUUAGCAUGGCCCCUGCGCAAGGAUGACACGCAAAUUUGUGAAGCAUUCCAUAUGUAA